This 910-nucleotide ribosomal RNA is filed under the name uncultured bacterium. Its description in RNAcentral is "bacterial SSU rRNA". It matches the Rfam family "Bacterial small subunit ribosomal RNA", at positions 8 to 916 of the family's 1533-position model. The record is from RNAcentral.
AGAGUUUGAUCAUGGCUCAGAACGAACGCUGGCGGCGCGCCUCAUACAUGCAAGUCGAGCGAGAAAUCCCCUGCUUGCAGGGGAGAGUAAAGCGGCGAACGGGUGAGUAACACGUGAGCAACCUGCCCCUCGGUUGGGGAUAAGCCUUCGAAAGAGGGUCUAAUACCGAAUAACAUCAUCUGGUGGCAUCACCGGAUGAUCAAAGGCUUCGGUCUCCGAGGGAUGGGCUCGCGGUCCAUUAGUUUGUUGGUGGGGUAACGGCCUACCAAGACUUCGAUGGAUAGCCGACCUGAGAGGGUGAUCGGCCACACUGGGACUGAGAUACGGCCCAGACUCCUACGGGAGGCAGCAGUAGGGAAUAUUGCGCAAUGGACGAAAGUCUGACGCAGCGACGCCGCGUGGAUGAUGAAGCUUUUAGGAGUGUAAAGUCCUUUCAGAGGGGAAGAAACGGUCUUCGGACCCUGACGGUACCCUCAGAAGAAGCACCGGCUAACUCCGUGCCAGCAGCCGCGGUAAUACGGAGGGUGCAAGCGUUGUUCGGAUUCACUGGGCGUAAAGGGUGCGCAGGCGGGUCAGUAGGUCGGAUGUGAAAACCCCACGGCUUAACCGGGGGCCUGCAUUCGAAACCGCUGAUCUUGAGUACGAGAGAGGAGAGCGGAAUUCCUGGUGUAGCGGUGAAAUGCGUAGAUAUCAGGAAGAACACCGGUGGCGAACGCGGCUCUCUGGCUCGAUACUGACGCUCAUGCACGAAAGCUAGGGGAGCAAACAGGAUUAGAUACCCUGGUAGUCCUAGCGGUAAACGAUGGGCACUAGUGUUGGGGGUAUCGACCCCCUCAGUGCCGCAGCUAACGCAUUAAGUGCCCCGCCUGGGGAGUACGGUCGCAAGAUUGAAACUCAAAUGAAUUGACGG